Molecule: transfer RNA, 63 nt
Filed under: Boulengerula boulengeri (Usambara bluish-gray caecilian)
Lineage: Eukaryota; Metazoa; Chordata; Amphibia; Gymnophiona; Herpelidae
Description: tRNA-Ser
Source: RNAcentral
AGAGAAGACGACCUAAAAGUUACUGCUAAUUGCCUUACCUAUGGUUAAAUUCCAUAGUCUCUU